UGGGACCGUAGGGUAGCCUGGUCCAUCCUCCCAGCCCGGGGAUGGACAAGAUCCACUGGAACGCUGGAGACCCGAGUUCAAAUCUCGGCGGUCCCAUC
RNAcentral lists this transfer RNA (98 nucleotides) under Methanothermobacter tenebrarum. Its description in RNAcentral is "tRNA-Pro". It matches the Rfam family "tRNA". Rfam says of the family: Transfer RNA (tRNA) molecules are approximately 80 nucleotides in length. RNAcentral also lists the same sequence under 1 other name. Lineage: Archaea; Methanobacteriati; Methanobacteriota; Methanobacteria; Methanobacteriales; Methanobacteriaceae. The record is from RNAcentral.